AUUGAACGCUGGCGGCAGGCUUAACACAUGCAAGUCGAGCGGAUGAAAGUAGCUUGCUACUGGAUUCAGCGGCGGACGGGUGAGUAAUGCUUAGGAAUCUGCCUAUUAGUGGGGGACAACGUUCCGAAAGGAGCGCUAAUACCGCAUACGUCCUACGGGAGAAAGCAGGGGACCUUCGGGCCUUGCGCUAAUAGAUGAGCCUAAGUCGGAUUAGCUAGUUGGUAGGGUAAAGGCCUACCAAGGCGACGAUCUGUAGCGGGUCUGAGAGGAUGAUCCGCCACACUGGGACUGAGACACGGCCCAGACUCCUACGGGAGGCAGCAGUGGGGAAUAUUGGACAAUGGGGGGAACCCUGAUCCAGCCAUGCCGCGUGUGUGAAGAAGGCCUUUUGGUUGUAAAGCACUUUAAGCGAGGAGGAGGCUACCUAGAUUAAUACUUUAGGAUAGUGGACGUUACUCGCAGAAUAAGCACCGGCUAACUCUGUGCCAGCAGCCGCGGUAAUACAGAGGGUGCGAGCGUUAAUCGGAUUUACUGGGCGUAAAGCGUGCGUAGGCGGCCAAUUAAGUCAAAUGUGAAAUCCCCGAGCUUAACUUGGGAAUUGCAUUCGAUACUGGUUGGCUAGAGUAUGGGAGAGGAUGGUAGAAUUCCAGGUGUAGCGGUGAAAUGCGUAGAGAUCUGGAGGAAUACCGAUGGCGAAGGCAGCCAUCUGGCCUAAUACUGACGCUGAUGUACGAAAGCAUGGGGAGCAA
This 749-nucleotide ribosomal RNA is filed under the name Acinetobacter radioresistens WC-A-157. Its description in RNAcentral is "bacterial SSU rRNA". It matches the Rfam family "Bacterial small subunit ribosomal RNA", at positions 28 to 771 of the family's 1533-position model. The record is from RNAcentral. Lineage: Bacteria; Pseudomonadati; Pseudomonadota; Gammaproteobacteria; Moraxellales; Moraxellaceae.